Molecule: ribosomal RNA, 119 nt
Filed under: Triticum dicoccoides
Lineage: Eukaryota; Viridiplantae; Streptophyta; Magnoliopsida; Poales; Poaceae
Source: RNAcentral
UGAUGCGAUCAUACCAGCACUAAAGCACCGGAUCCCAUCAGAACUCCGAAGCUAAGCGUGCUUGGGCGAGAGUAGUACUAGGAUGGUUGACCUCCUAGGAAGUCCUCGAGUUGCAUUCC